GGAUGAACGCUAGCGGCAGGCUUAACACAUGCAAGUCGAGGGGUAUAGUUCUUCGGAGCUAGAGACCGGCGCACGGGUGCGUAACGCGUAUGCAAUCUACCUUUCACAGAGGGAUAGCCCAGAGAAAUUUGGAUUAAUACCUCAUAGUAUUAUAGAGUGGCAUCACUUUAUAAUUAAAGUCACAACGGUGAAAGAUGAGCAUGCGUCCCAUUAGCUAGUUGGUAAGGUAACGGCUUACCAAGGCUACGAUGGGUAGGGGUCCUGAGAGGGAGAUCCCCCACACUGGUACUGAGACACGGACCAGACUCCUACGGGAGGCAGCAGUGAGGAAUAUUGGACAAUGGGCGCAAGCCUGAUCCAGCCAUGCCGCGUGCAGGAUGACGGUCCUAUGGAUUGUAAACUGCUUUUAUACAGGAAGAAACACCUCUACGUGUAGAGACUUGACGGUACUGUAAGAAUAAGGAUCGGCUAACUCCGUGCCAGCAGCCGCGGUAAUACGGAGGAUCCAAGCGUUAUCCGGAAUCAUUGGGUUUAAAGGGUCCGUAGGCGGUUUAGUAAGUCAGUGGUGAAAGCCCAUCGCUCAACGGUGGAACGGCCAUUGAUACUGCUAGACUUGAAUUAUUAGGAAGUAACUAGAAUAUGUAGUGUAGCGGUGAAAUGCUUAGAGAUUACAUGGAAUACCAAUUGCGAAGGCAGGUUACUACUAAUUGAUUGACGCUGAUGGACGAAAGCGUGGGUAGCGAACAGGAUUAGAUACCCUGGUAGUCCACGCCGUAAACGAUGGAUACUAGCUGUUGGGAGCAAUCUCAGUGGCUAAGCGAAAGU
This 825-nucleotide ribosomal RNA is filed under the name uncultured Flavobacterium sp. Its description in RNAcentral is "bacterial SSU rRNA". It matches the Rfam family "Bacterial small subunit ribosomal RNA", at positions 27 to 858 of the family's 1533-position model. Lineage: Bacteria; Pseudomonadati; Bacteroidota; Flavobacteriia; Flavobacteriales; Flavobacteriaceae. The record is from RNAcentral.